CGGCCAUGACUUAACCCUCCCUACGCAGUGCACGAACUUGGAAAGGGACUGAGUCGGCGAGUAUAGUACUGUUUUAUUUCAGCAGCUGUUCCUUUUGUGCUUGAAAUGCUCAAGAGAAGACUAGAAAUGCUGUUUGCAGAAUUCACAUGCUCUGAACAGGUACCAACACGAGCGUUGUGACUCAUGGCUUGUACAGGACUGCUUACGUCCAAGUGCAACAGGCCUUCCUGGCUACAGUUCAGGCAGAAUUUCCCAGGAAAAUUACUUGAGGCUGGAGAUUUCUUUUUCGGAAACCUUUUACUUGUGCACUGAUUAUUCAGGACUAUUCGGGU
Molecule: long non-coding RNA, 332 nt
Organism: Camelus dromedarius (Arabian camel)
Lineage: Eukaryota; Metazoa; Chordata; Mammalia; Artiodactyla; Camelidae
Exons: 3
Source: RefSeq, a predicted model, not a curated record